UACGUAGGGUGCGAGCGUUGUCCGGAUUUAUUGGGCGUAAAGGGCUCGUAGGCGGCGUGUCGCGUCGGGAGUGAAAGCCCGUUGCUUAACGGCGGGUUGGCUUUCGGUACGGGCAUGCUGGAGUGCGGCAGGGGAGACUGGAAUUCCUGGUGUAGCGGUGGAAUGCGCAGAUAUCAGGAGGAACACCGGUGGCGAAGGCGGGUCUCUAGUACGGUACUGACGCUGAGACGCGAAAGCGUGGGGAGCGAACAGG
Molecule: ribosomal RNA, 253 nt
Filed under: uncultured bacterium
Lineage: Bacteria
Description: partial 16S ribosomal RNA
Rfam family: Bacterial small subunit ribosomal RNA
Source: RNAcentral